CGUUUGUUUCAUCUCCCGCUUCGCCCUGGUUCCUGAGAACGUCGCUGGAGGUCGUCAGGAGUGAGGCCUGGACCGUGGGCCUGAGCCGGCAGCUGAGCCGGCAGCUGGGCAGCUCUCCCCGCCUGUCCUGGGAGAAGCGGUUCCUGUACAAGGCUCUCAGCACGGCCCUGGCAGCUUGUGGGUGUCUAUGCCACGUGCGAGAGCAGACCCUGAAACAUCUGAAAGCAGCCAGCUUCCUGGAGCUGUGGGAGGCACAGGGAAUGGUUUCAGUUGUGUCCUGCUGUGCCGAGAGCCACUUCCAGCUGGCCUUGUCCUUGGUGAAGGAGUUCAUGGGGACUUUGAAACACCAGAAGGUAAAGAGCCUGUGGCGGUGUUGUGGGGAGCUGCCGGGAGUUGUGCAGGGAGCUGUGCCGCUGG
RNAcentral lists this long non-coding RNA (417 nucleotides) under Apteryx rowi (Okarito brown kiwi). RNAcentral describes it as "lncRNA (ENSARWG00000016032.1)". Lineage: Eukaryota; Metazoa; Chordata; Aves; Apterygiformes; Apterygidae. The record is from RNAcentral.